This 492-nucleotide ribosomal RNA is filed under the name uncultured bacterium. Its description in RNAcentral is "partial 16S ribosomal RNA". It matches the Rfam family "Bacterial small subunit ribosomal RNA", at positions 29 to 507 of the family's 1533-position model. The record is from RNAcentral.
AUUGAACGCUGGCGGCAUGCUUUACACAUGCAAGUCGAACGGUAACAGGCCUUCCGUGGCUGACGGGUGGUGAACGGGGGCGGAAUGCAUCGGAACGUACCCAGAGGCGGGGGAAAACGCAUCGAAAGCUGUGCUAAUACCUCAUGUGAUCUGAGGAUGAAAGCGGGGGAGCGAGCAGCAAUGAUUGGCCCCUCGCCUUUGGAGCGGCCGAUGUCGGAUUAGCUAGUUGGUGGGGUAAAGGCCUACCAAGGCAACGAUCCGUAGCUGAUCUGAGAGGACGACCGGCCACACUGGAACUGAGACACGGCCCAGACUCCUACGGGAGGCAGCAGUGGGGAAUUUUCGGCAAUGGGCGCAAGCCUGAUCCAGCAAUGCCGCGUGAGGGAUGAAGGCCUUCGGGUUGUAAACCGCUGUUGGCAGGAAAGAAAAGGUGUCCGCUAAUCCCGGCAGAUCAUGACGGUACCUGCAGAAAAAGCACCGGCUAACUACGUG